This 406-nucleotide ribosomal RNA is filed under the name uncultured bacterium. RNAcentral describes it as "partial 16S ribosomal RNA". It matches the Rfam family "Bacterial small subunit ribosomal RNA", at positions 30 to 526 of the family's 1533-position model. The record is from RNAcentral.
AUUGAACGCUGGCGGCAGGCUUAACACAUGCAAGUCGAGCGAGCGGCGGACGGGUGAGUAAUGUAUGGGAAACUGCCUGAUGGAGGGGGAUACCUACUGGAAACGGUAGCUAAUACCACAUACCAUCCGAUGAGCCCAGAUGGGAUUAGCUAGUAGGUGGGGUAAUGGCUCACCUAGGCGACGAUCCCUAGCUGGUCUGUGAGGAUGAUCAGCCACACUGGAACUGAGACACGGUCCAGACUCCGACGUGAGGCAGCAGUGGGGAAUAUUGCACAAUGGGCGCAAGCCUGAUGCAGCCAUGCCGCGGGUGUGAAGAAGGCCUUAGGGUUGUAAAGCACUUUCAGCGAGGAGGCGUUACUCGCAGAAGAAGCACCGGCUAACUCCGUGCCAGCAGCCGCGGUAAAUC